Molecule: long non-coding RNA, 925 nt
Filed under: Sus scrofa (pig)
Lineage: Eukaryota; Metazoa; Chordata; Mammalia; Artiodactyla; Suidae
Description: lncRNA (ENSSSCG00070006275.1)
Source: RNAcentral
CCCUCACCCAGCUGCUGCGGCGGAGAGACGGAGGCCAGCGCGGGGAGCGGAAGCCGGAGCCUGUCGGGAGCGACCCCGGGAAGGCCAGUCCCUCCUGCCGGAGGGAGGCGUGUUGGCGUGCGGCCGGUGGCGGGAUCGAUGGCCACCUGGUAGGCGAUGAGUCCUUGGUGGUCAUCGAGAACCCUGGAGCCCCUGCGGCAGUUCCCAGAGACGUGGAGGCGGUGGGGCGCCAGGUGGCCCUGGGCGGUGCCGAGUCGGCCGCGGACUGGGGUCGAGAGAAGUGCAGGAGGGCCAGAGGUCCUGGGCCAGUGUGCGCAGAGCACCGUGAGGGGGAGUGUUGGGUGCCCGGGGCGGCAGUGCCUUCAGGGCGGCCUGGGCUAUGAUGUGGGAUAUCCUCAGAGAUUUGGGCGGCGCGUGGAAGGCAGGACGGAGGGGUCCCCGGGCACGUGAAUGGGAGCUGGGUGCCUGUGCCCUGGCCGGUCAUGGGUGCCGGCGGGGCAGAGAAGUGUGAGCCCGCGGCCAGCUCCCGGGGCCGCUAAGGUGUCCACACACGGGCUGGGCAUUGAGGCCGUGCGGCGCCCCUGCCCUGGCUGAGGCCGUGUUCCGGGGAGGGAGGACAGGGAGUUGCGCAGUGGGAGGCAGUGUGAGGUUGAUACCCAGCAGAGCUAGCCACGCCUGCGGACUGGAGCCAAGCCGAGCUGGUUCCAGGCGGGAGCUGGUGGCAAGGAGGGAGUCUGCUGUGGAGGUAAGGGGGCAGGUGGCGGCGGAAGGGGCGUGAGUUUCGGUGCGAGGGUCCCGCUGGGCCAGGGUCUAGUGCGUCUCCCGUGGAGAUGCUGGUGCUGGAGUUAGGGAGGCCUGGGUGUGCAUGGUGUGGCACGCAAAGGAGAGGGUCCCAUGGGGCCCGGCGGGCCUUCCGGUGCUGGCG